ACUCCUACGGGAGGCAGCAGUGGGGAAUAUUGGACAAUGGGCGAAAGCCUGAUCCAGCCAUGCCGCGUGUGUGAAGAAGGCCUUUUGGUUGUAAAGCACUUUAAGCGAGGAGGAGGCUACUUGGGUUAAUACNCUAGGAUAGUGGACGUACUCGCAGAAAUAAGCACCGGGCUAACUCUGUGCCAGCAGCCGCGGUAAUACAGAGGGUGCGAGCGUUAAUCGGAUUUACUGGGCGUAAAGCGUGCGUAGGCGGCUUUUUUAAGUCGGAUGUGAAAUCCCUGAGCUUAACUUAGGAAUUGCAUUUCGAUACUGGGAAGCAUAGAGUAUGGGAGAGGAUGGUAGAAUUCCAGGUGUAGCGGUGAAAUGCGUAGAGAUCUGGAGGAAUACCGAUGGCGAAGGCAGCCAUCUGGCCUAAUACUGACGCUGAGGUACGAAAGCAUGGGGAGCAAACAGGAUUAGAUACCCUGGUAGCGAGUAG
RNAcentral lists this ribosomal RNA (478 nucleotides) under uncultured bacterium. RNAcentral's name for it is "bacterial SSU rRNA". It matches the Rfam family "Bacterial small subunit ribosomal RNA", at positions 335 to 802 of the family's 1533-position model. The record is from RNAcentral.